This is a long non-coding RNA of Passer domesticus (house sparrow), 1538 nucleotides long. RefSeq lists it as uncharacterized. Lineage: Eukaryota; Metazoa; Chordata; Aves; Passeriformes; Passeridae. The record is from RefSeq and is a predicted model, not a curated record. The transcript is spliced from 3 exons.
GAUCACCAGGCGCGCGACCCUGCAGAACAGGGCCGCCAUCGACUUCCUGCUGCUGGCACACGGGCAUGGUUGCCAGGAGUUCGAGGGGCUGUGCUGCUUUAAUCUAACGUCUCGAAGCAAAUCAGUCCACGCGUCGAUCCAGGAAAUGAGAGACCUUGUCGGUACCGUCAAGCAAGAGAAUGAGGACUGGUUCAAGGACUUAUUCAAGAACUGGGGACUCUCAGGUUGGAUGCUCUCCCUUAUAAAAGACAUCAGUUAUUUCGUUGUCAUUCUCCUUCUAGUUGCUUUAAGUUUUGGGAUCAUCAAAAGAAUCAUUACCGCCUCUCUAUCCGGACCUUCAUCAAAAUCGAAGGUUGUGAUUGCAGCUGCAACCACACAUGAAGACAGCUGGUGGGAAAACCCCACAUCGAGAGAUACUCAAGUCUAAGAUCCCGGAAGUUUUGUUUUUCCAAAACCCACACUGUCUCUCUUUUUUAAACAAAAAAGGGGGAGAUGUGGCGUUGCGUGUUUUGAAGUUAUUAUUUGAAGUUGUUGUUAAUUAUUUUAUAUUAGUUAAAUAAUGGUUUGUUCCUUUCCCCCCAUGUAAUCCCCUAUAAUGGUUUGUCCCUAAGUUGUUUUUCUCCUAUUCUUCCCGCCACUGGCUUGUCAAUUAAAGUAAGACGUCCCUUGUUCCUCCCCCUAAUGCCAUAUUUGGUAUUGUCAAUCCUCCUGGUGCUGCCUCCUACCCGUGUCAAUUAUGUUAACCCCCCCUACCUUUUUCAAGAAAUUUCUGUGUCAUUUAUCCUUAGCUUGUACUGUGAUUUGCUCCCAAGGCUCUCUCCCUCCCCCUUAUUCUUGUCAUUGGUUCUUUUGUAUUGCAUCACCUCACCUGUACCCUCAGUUAUAGGCUCCUUUGUAUUUCCACGCCCCACACCCUCUUACUUUAAAAGCUAGCCGUGACAGUUGUUCUCUGACAUUUGUCCCUGGACCCUCCUCGGUUGUCCUUUCUCCCUGGACCUUUCCCCGGAUUAAAGACACCUUGGAACCCAAACAAGUGUCCCUUCUUUCUUCCUUUGUCUUGGAUCCUCGUGCCUCUCUUCGCAUCAGCCUGCGCACCCACGCCGCUGGCUGUCACCGCUACCCGGCAGACCCGACGGGAACCUGGGAGCGGCCAGUCUUGUGGCGCCCCUCUGCGGUCUUGCAAGGAGCAGCUAGCCGGCGCCCCUUUGCUCCGACCGGCCGCAGCGCGUGAGAGCCACAAUCAUAUGUGUUCCCAGGCUCUUGGCAGUCAUAUGAGUUUCUAACCUGGAGCUGUCUCUCCCUGACUCUGAUAGUUCAUUGGGAAUCAAUGGAGUAUUUUCCCCUUUGCUGGAGCAAUGGAAAGUUGAUGAAGAAUCUUGAUGAAAGUGUCCAGCAGUGCAAGGGAAAUUAGCUCCAUUUCACAGAAAAGUACAGUGCUUGAUUGCCCUCCAGCCUGGGCCACCUGCAUCCUGAAACACAAGAAACUUGGAUGCCCUUGAGAAGUCCUUGACCAAGUCUUCCUAGUCUGGCAGCUGAGG